This is a long non-coding RNA of Chelonia mydas (Green sea turtle), 542 nucleotides long. RefSeq lists it as uncharacterized. Lineage: Eukaryota; Metazoa; Chordata; Testudines; Cheloniidae. The transcript is spliced from 3 exons. The record is from RefSeq and is a predicted model, not a curated record.
AUGCUGGGGAAUCUGCUGGCAGAGUCCCCAGACACAGACAGGCUCCACUUCAUCUUGGAGCAUGUCAACUUCUGGGUCGUGUCCAGGGUGUCCCAGGAGCGAGCCAGGGCCAUCAGGAGCAGCACAGCCCUGCUGAGAUACACAGUCACCCUCCCUGAGUUUGACAUCUCUGCCGAGUUCCCCAGGAUGGGGCACCAUGUGGCCCAGCUGGCUCUAUUUGUCAGCGAUCCGGACAAGGACAUCAGCCGGCAGGCCAGGGAGGGGACUUACCGGCUCUACCAGCUGCUGCUCCGACAGAGGGGUAAGGAACCCAGCUGGGACACGGAACCCAAUAGGGGACUGAGAGUGACCACAGGUGGAGAAUGGGACCCCAGACCAUUUCUCUCCGACUGACCCCAGCUGGAGGACAAGUCUCUCUCUGCCUCUGGUCUCCACUCCACUGUGGAGCCACCAAUGGGAUUGGAAGGACACAGAAACUGCAACCAGAAGGAGAAAAGUCUCUCUCUCUCUCUCUCUCUCUCUCUUCCAGGCCUGACCAUACA